Molecule: long non-coding RNA, 279 nt
Filed under: Elaeis guineensis (African oil palm)
Lineage: Eukaryota; Viridiplantae; Streptophyta; Magnoliopsida; Arecales; Arecaceae
Description: long non-coding RNA (EGUI_LNC050872)
Source: RNAcentral
UAUGUCGAACAAAGUCGAUUCUAAUAAGAGACAAUCCUAUUCUCUUCUAGAUAUAUCAAAACUCACCAGAAAUAUAUACUCCUCUUGGUUUGACCAAAGAGUUUCAAUACUCUUUCAGUUUAUUUCUUUAUCUUAUUAUGAAAUAUUUAAAUAUUUUAAAUAAUUCAAAUUUAUGGCAAACAUAUUCAUAGAUCCAAUACAUCAGUAUGUAUCAAAUUCAGAAUAUCAUUGGCUCGUUCAUCUUUUCCAACAAAAAGUGACUUGAUCAUCUUACUAAGG